GCUUGUCUCAAAGAUUAAGCCAUGCAUGUAUAAGUAUAAACGCUUUAAGCGUGAAACCGCGAACGGCUCAUUACAACAGCUAUAAUUUACUUGAUCUUGACAAACUUACAUGGAUAACUGAGGUAAUUCUUGAGCUAAUACAUGCACCAAAACUUUGACCGUAAGGGAAGAGCGCAUUUAUUAGAACAAAACCAAACGGCUUCGGCUGUUCCCAGUUGAAUCAGAAUAACUCAGCUGAUCGUACGGUCUUGCACCGACGACGUGUCUUUCAAGCAUCUGCUUUAUCAACUUUCGAUGGUAGGGUAUCUGCCUACCAUGGUGGUGACGGAUAACAGAGGGUCAGGGUUCGACUCCGGAGAAGGGGCCUGAGAAAUGGCCACUACGUCUAAGGAUGGCAGCAGGCGCGCAAAUUACCCACUCUCAGAAUUUGGAGGAGGUAGUGACGAGAAAUAACGAGGUUGAUCUCUUCUGAGGCAAACCAUCGGAAUGGGUACAAUUUAAACCCUUUAACGAGUAUCUAUGAGAGGGCAAGUCUGGUGCCAGCAGCCGCGGUAAUUCCAGCUCUCAAAAUGCAUAGAAUUAUUGCUGCGGUUAAAAAGCUCGUAGUUGGAUCUGCAGCCGGAGCUCCGGUCCAUCUUCGGAUGUGUACUGGAUGUCUCCGGCUUUCUGACAGUGUUCGGCUCUGUGCCUCUAACCAGGUAUGGAUGUCCGAUACUGUAAGUUUACUUUGAAUAAAUCAGAGUGCUCUAAACAGGCGUUUUGCUUGAAUGAUUGUGCAUGGAAUAAUAGAAGAGGAUUUCGGUUCUAUUUUAUUGGUUUUAUAGACUGAGAUAAUGGUUAACAGAGACAAACGGGGGCAUUUGUAUGGCUACGUGAGAGGUGAAAUUCUUGGACC
RNAcentral lists this ribosomal RNA (895 nucleotides) under Pratylenchus penetrans. Its description in RNAcentral is "SSU rRNA". It matches the Rfam family "Eukaryotic small subunit ribosomal RNA", at positions 30 to 926 of the family's 1831-position model. The record is from RNAcentral. Lineage: Eukaryota; Metazoa; Nematoda; Chromadorea; Rhabditida; Pratylenchidae.